GGCUCAGGAUGAACGCUGGCGGCGUGCUUAACACAUGCAAGUCGAACGGAGGACCCUGACGGAGUUUCGGACAACAGAUAGGAAUCCUUAGUGGCGGACGGGUGAGUAACGCGUGAGGAACCUGCCUUGGAGAGGGGAAUAACACAGAGAAAUUUGUGCUAAUACCGCAUGAGGCAACUAAGUCGCAUGGCUUUGGUUGCCAAAGAUUUAUCGCUCUGAGAUGGCCUCGCGUCUGAUUAGCUUGUUGGUGGGGCAACGGCCCACCAAGGCGACGAUCAGUAGCCGGACUGAGAGGUUGGCCGGCCACAUUGGGACUGAGACACGGCCCAGACUCCUACGGGAGGCAGCAGUGGGGAAUAUUGGGCAAUGGGCGCAAGCCUGACCCAGCAACGCCGCGUUGAAGGAAGAAGGCUUUCGGAUCGUAAAGUUCUGUUAUGAAGGAAGAACGGCGCCUGGAGGAGAAAGCCGGGCGUAUGACGGUACUUCAUGAGGAAGCCACGGCUAACUACGUGCCAGCCGCCGC
Molecule: ribosomal RNA, 523 nt
Filed under: uncultured bacterium
Lineage: Bacteria
Description: bacterial SSU rRNA
Rfam family: Bacterial small subunit ribosomal RNA
Source: RNAcentral